UUGGUGGAUAAUGCACAAUUUAGAAUAAAAUGGAGAGAAACGUAAGCAUGUAAUAACACGUAGUUGCUGCUCGUGAAUUCUUAACUGUGAAAAUCAAUCCCACCACCUUUCUUACACAGAAUGUGUGAGGGUGCAGCCAACUGCAGAGCCUAGGGCUUGAAGACAGAAAAGGCUAGUCUGCAGUGUCUGCAUGUCCGGAAAACGUCAUGGCCAUCACUUUCGAUCAGAAGAGCACUGUUCCUGCUCAGCUCCCUGGCAAACCCAUUCUGGUCAUUCACUCAUCAUUACACACAGUUAUCAAGUAUCUACUAAGUGCUGGCACGAUUCCAAAUGCUGAGACAAAGCAGAGAACAAAGGGCAGGAUCCUGCAUAACAACAGUUUACAUUCUAGUGGACAGAGACAAGCAGAAGUAGCCAACCCAAGGAGUAAACAACAGUACAGCAUGGUGCACGACAGGAAACUGAGGAUUUUGGGUCCCCUGCCUCUAACAGCAUGAAGCCUGCAUGUUGGUCCCCCUGGAGAUGACUGAGCUCCAGAGUUCCACUGCCUGGGCUCAACUCCUGGCUUCAUCACUUUCUAUGGUGACCCUGAGCAACCAGUAAGCCCCACGGUCAAACUGAACUACCUCCUCACAAUCAAGGAACACUGAGGAUGUGACAACACAGGAGUAGAAACAUGGCAGACCUUCCCAGCCCCACACUGAGGCGGCCAACAGUUCCUGAGCAUCUCCCUCCAACUCCCUCUGCAGUCAGCUUUCAGAUACACUAGAACUAAUAAAGCCGGACACAGGCUUGGUGUUCACAACAACUCUCAUCCCACUCCCUCCAUCUGUGUGUACCAGCAAUUGCAAAUCCAAACAUCCCUCCACCCAGACCCCCACAGCCCCAGAAGACUGGAG
Long non-coding RNA from Myotis lucifugus (little brown bat), 899 nucleotides. RefSeq lists it as uncharacterized. The record is from RefSeq and is a predicted model, not a curated record. Lineage: Eukaryota; Metazoa; Chordata; Mammalia; Chiroptera; Vespertilionidae. The transcript is spliced from 4 exons.